Molecule: ribosomal RNA, 441 nt
Filed under: uncultured bacterium
Lineage: Bacteria
Description: partial 16S ribosomal RNA
Rfam family: Bacterial small subunit ribosomal RNA
Source: RNAcentral
CCUACGGGAGGCAGCAGUGGGGAAUAUUGGGUAAUGGGCGCAAGCCUUACCCAGCAAUACCGCGUGAGUGAAGAAGGUCUUCGGAUUGUAAAGCUCUUUGAUCAGGGACGAACAGAUGACGGUACCUGAAGAACAAGCCCCGGCUAACUACGUGCCAGCAGCCGCGGUAAAACGUAGGGGGCGAGCGUUGUCCGGAUUCAUUGGGCUUAAAGGGAGCGUAGGCGGGCGUUCAAGUCAGCUGUAAAAUCGCGCGGCUCAACCGCGCCCCGCAGUUGAAACUGUGCAGCUAGAGUGCAGGAGAGGUAAGUGGAAUUCCUAGUGUAGCGGUGAAAUGCGUAGAUAUCGCGCAGAACUCCGAUUGCGAAGGCAGCAUGCCGGCUCCACACUGACGCUGAGGCACGAAAGCGUGGGUAUCGAACAGGAUUAGAUACCCUUGUAGUC